GACGAACGCUGGCGGCGUGCUUAACACAUGCAAGUCGAACGGAAAGGCCCUGCUUUUGUGGGGUGCUCGAGUGGCGAACGGGUGAGUAACACGUGAGUAACCUGUCCUUGACUUUGGGAUAACUUCAGGAAACUGGGGCUAAUACCGGAUAGGAGCUCCCGCUGCAUGGUGGGGGUUGGAAAGUUUCGGCGGUUGGGGAUGGACUCGCGGCUUAUCAGCUUGUUGGUGGGGUAGUGGCUUACCAAGGCUUGGACGGGUAGCCGGCCUGAGAGGGUGACCGGCCACAUUGGGACUGAGAUGCGGCCCAGACUCCUACGGGAGGCAGCAGUGGGGAAUGUUGCACAGUGGGCGGGAGCCUGAUGCAACAACGCCGCGUGCGGGAUGACGGCCUUCGGGUAGUAAUCCGCUUUCGCCUGUGACGAGGCGUGAGUGACGGUAAUGGGUAAAGAAGCACCGGCUAACUACGUG
Molecule: ribosomal RNA, 468 nt
Filed under: uncultured bacterium
Lineage: Bacteria
Description: partial 16S ribosomal RNA
Rfam family: Bacterial small subunit ribosomal RNA
Source: RNAcentral